GAGCAGAGGACUGAAAAUCCUCUGCAC
This 27-nucleotide transfer RNA is filed under the name Asperula laevigata. RNAcentral describes it as "partial tRNA-Phe". The record is from RNAcentral. Lineage: Eukaryota; Viridiplantae; Streptophyta; Magnoliopsida; Gentianales; Rubiaceae. RNAcentral also lists the same sequence under 15 other names.